Xiphophorus maculatus (southern platyfish) is the source of this 295-nucleotide long non-coding RNA. RefSeq lists it as uncharacterized. Lineage: Eukaryota; Metazoa; Chordata; Actinopteri; Cyprinodontiformes; Poeciliidae. The transcript has 2 exons. The record is from RefSeq and is a predicted model, not a curated record.
UUUAGGUUCACUAACUGAUGAUUUAAUUUGGAUUUAACAGAAGUACAGAACAGAAACCCAGUGGACCACGUCGGGGGACCACCGGACUUAAUGGCGCUGGCACAGCUGGCUGCUUGCAGACGCAGCUCCCAUCGUGUGUGUUAAUCUGUGUAUAUUUGCUGUAACCGAUUAAGGAUCCGUGCUUAAAGAACCCAUGGAUCGUCGGUGGCUGGAUGUGGUUCUGUCGCUGUUCUCUGCGCUCUUCUGCUGCUUUUUCUGCUCUUUGUUGCGGAGAGCCUCGCCGAACGGAGUGGCG